RNAcentral lists this ribosomal RNA (492 nucleotides) under uncultured bacterium. Its description in RNAcentral is "partial 16S ribosomal RNA". It matches the Rfam family "Bacterial small subunit ribosomal RNA", at positions 29 to 507 of the family's 1533-position model. The record is from RNAcentral.
AGUGAACGCUGGCGGUAGGCCUAACACAUGCAAGUCGAACGGCAGCACAGUAAGCGCUUGCUCUUACGGGUGGCGAGUGGCGGACGGGUGAGGCAUACAUCGGAAUCUACUUUUUCGUGGGGGAUAACGUAGGGAAACUUACGCUAAUACCGCAUACGACCUACGGGUGAAAGCAGGGGAUCUUCGGACCUUGCGCGAUUGAAUGAGCCGAUGUCGGAUUAGCUAGUUGGCGGGGUAAAGGCUCACCAAGGCGACGAUCCGUAGCUGGUCCGAGAGGAUGAUCAGCCACACUGGAACUGAGACACGGUCCAGACUCCUACGGGAGGCAGCAGUGGGGAAUAUUGGACAAUGGGCGCAAGCCUGAUCCAGCCAUACCGCGUGGGUGAAGAAGGCCUUCGGGUUGUAAAGCCCUUUUGUUGGGAAAGAAAAGCAGCAGGUUAAUACCCCGCUGUUCUGACGGUACCCAAAGAAUAAGCACCGGCUAACUUCGUG